CCUACGGGGGGCAGCAGUGAGGAAUAUUGGUCAAUGGACGAAAGUCUGAACCAGCCAAGUAGCGUGCAGGAUGACGGCCCUAUGGGUUGUAAACUGCUUUUAUGCGGGGAUAAAGUUAGUCACGUGUGACUAUUUGCAGGUACCGCAUGAAUAAGGACCGGCUAAUUCCGUGCCAGCAGCCGCGGUAAUACGGAAGGUCCGGGCGUUAUCCGGAUUUAUUGGGUUUAAAGGGAGCGUAGGCCGUGGAUUAAGCGUGUUGUGAAAUGUAGACGCUCAACGUCUGACUUGCAGCGCGAACUGGUUCACUUGAGUGUGCGCAACGCAGGCGGAAUUCGUGGUGUAGCGGUGAAAUGCUUAGAUAUCACGAAGAACUCCGAUUGCGAAGGCAGCUUGCGGGAGCACAACUGACGCUGAAGCUCGAAAGUGCGGGUAUCAAACAGGAUUAGAUACCCCGGUAGUC
Molecule: ribosomal RNA, 460 nt
Filed under: uncultured Prevotella sp.
Lineage: Bacteria; Pseudomonadati; Bacteroidota; Bacteroidia; Bacteroidales; Prevotellaceae
Description: bacterial SSU rRNA
Rfam family: Bacterial small subunit ribosomal RNA
Source: RNAcentral